GUCGUAUUUUUGGCUUGUGAUCCUCUCCUGACUUAUAUUUGGGUAAUGUGGAUGGCUUGAUAUGCAAAAAGAGAAGUGAUGUUCUUCUGGUGGUUCUCCAGUGGGAUCUGGAUACGAAUCUUCAGUGCAUCUUCUCGGUUUGCUGCGGAACUUCCUAUUUUAAUUUGGCAACUUGUAAAAUAAGUCUCGCUAAAUUUGAUGACUACUGCUGAUUGUAUACUUUUCAACUCAAGUAGCUUGUACAUGUCAGUUUCAUUCAUGCUGGAUAUUCUCAUUCA
Hordeum vulgare subsp. vulgare (domesticated barley) is the source of this 278-nucleotide long non-coding RNA. RefSeq lists it as uncharacterized. NCBI's taxonomy places the organism in Eukaryota, Viridiplantae, Streptophyta, Magnoliopsida, Poales, Poaceae. The record is from RefSeq and is a predicted model, not a curated record. The transcript has 2 exons.